Molecule: ribosomal RNA, 492 nt
Filed under: uncultured bacterium
Lineage: Bacteria
Description: partial 16S ribosomal RNA
Rfam family: Bacterial small subunit ribosomal RNA
Source: RNAcentral
AGUGAACGCUGGCGGUAGGCCUAACACAUGCAAGUCGAACGGCAGCACAGUAAGAGCUUGCUCUUACGGGUGGCGAGUGGCGGACGGGUGAGGAAUACAUCGGAAUCUACUUUUUCGUGGGGGAUAACGUAGGGAAACUUACGCUAAUACCGCAUACGACCUACGGGUGAAAGCAGGGGAUCUUCGGACCUUGCGCGAUUGAAUGAGCCGAUGUCGGAUUAGCUAGUUGGCGGGGUAAAGGCCCACCAAGGCGACGAUCCGUAGCUGGUCUGAGAGGAUGAUCGCCCACACUGGAACUGAGACACGGUCCAGACUCCUACGGGAGGCAGCAGUGGGGAAUAUUGGACAAUGGGCGCAAGCCUGAUCCAGCCAUACCGCGUGGGUGAAGAAGGCCUUCGGGUUGUAAAGCCCUUUUGUUGGGAAAGAAAAGCAGCAGGUUAAUACCCCGCUGUUCUGACGGUACCCAAAGAAUAAGCACCGGCUAACUUCGUG